RNAcentral lists this unclassified non-coding RNA (274 nucleotides) under air metagenome. Its description in RNAcentral is "partial contains small subunit ribosomal RNA, internal transcribed spacer 1, and 5.8S ribosomal RNA". The stretch from base 1 to 46 matches the Rfam family "Eukaryotic small subunit ribosomal RNA", at positions 1786 to 1831 of the family's 1831-position model. The record is from RNAcentral.
AAGUCGUAACAAGGUUUCCGUAGGUGAACCUGCGGAAGGAUCAUUAACGUAUCUAAGGUGUUCGGCUGACGCCCUGCUCCGACCGAAAGGCCGUGCAGCGGGCUGACGCCGACGCCCAACCUUCACAAACCCACUGUGCACCUUCACGGCAGAGGCCGUCGGGCGAGAGCCUGGCGACCGAAGCCGUCUCUACAAACACUAGUCAAAAGAAUGUCAAAGCGACUCUGUCGCCCAUUAAACAUAACAACUUUCAACAACGGAUCUCUUGGCUCUC